GAUGAAGAACGUAGCGAAAUGCGAUAAGUAAUGCGAAUUGCAGAAUUCCAGUGAGUCAUCGAAUCUUUGAACGCACAUUGCGCCCUUUGGUAUUCCGAAGGGCAUGCCUGUUCGAGCGUCAUUAUCACCCCUCAAGCCCCCGGCUUGGUGUUGGACGGUUUGGCGGAGGCCCUCCGGGGCCCUUGCCCCUCCCAAAGACAAUGACGGCGGCCUCGUUGGACCCCCGGUACACUGAGUUCUUCACGGGACACGUACUGGAGUAAGGGUGCGCGGGGCACGGUCUGCCUCCCCUCAGGGAGAAUCUUCUUUUACAAGGUUGACCUCGGAUCAGGUAGGGAUACCCGCUGAACUUAAGCAUAUCAAUAAGCGGAGGA
RNAcentral lists this unclassified non-coding RNA (374 nucleotides) under soil metagenome. RNAcentral describes it as "partial contains 5.8S ribosomal RNA, internal transcribed spacer 2, and large subunit ribosomal RNA". The stretch from base 1 to 121 matches the Rfam family "5.8S ribosomal RNA", at positions 35 to 154 of the family's 154-position model. The record is from RNAcentral.